GGACGCCGGGGCCCGCCAUCCCCAACGUCCACCGCGAGCUCCCUAGAUCCACGGUCUGGAGCAGGUCCAGAAGACUCACCUGGCAGGACGCCCCAGGGGCCACAGUCGCCCUCCCCACGGGCCACCCCAAUCCUGCCGCGGCUCCGUGGCUCUCCCUACCUUUACCUGAGGUGAAGCAAGGACGUAGAAGCAGCUACGGCGCGCUACCGAGCACCUCACACCGCUCUCAAAAGUACUGCUCAGCCUCCCGGCCCGCCGAGGCGCAGGCGAUAGCAGCCAACUUGAUGCUCUUCACUUCUUACAAAUUGGCAUGCCAGGCUGCUGCUCAGGUGAUCUGCCUCUUGGACCAGCUCUGAACAUGGGACAAUGAUCAGUGCAAGAUCCCUGAGAUGCUGAGACACGAUGGGAUGGAGGAAAGCUAUGGGACAAGUGGCCUUUCAUAGGAGGAGGAGCCCUUGUCAAAUGUGAGGAGCGAAGCAGGACAGGAGCAUGAGAACAGGAAGCCAGAAGUUAUGGGGACACUCAAGCAGCACUAGGGAGAGGCUCAUGAGUAGAAGAACUGAGGCAUCCUGCAAACAAACAGCCAUGGACUAACCUGUAUUGGGAGCAGAUUCUCCAGCUCCACGUCUGUUCCUUAGUCUCUGUUGAGGUGAAACUCCAAUAUCUGAACCCAACCAGAAAAAUAAGCAACCUGUAUACAAGCCAAGUUAAAGUUUCACUCCUGUAAUGGAUGAGGAGAAACCAGAAGAUAUUUCUCAUGCACAGGGAGUGCAUGAAUCCCCUGAAUUGCCAGGUUUCAGGGUCACAUGAGACCUCUAGAAGGCUCUGCUCAUCAUCACUUUAUCAUCUGCUGAUAUACCUAUUCUAACGAAGGAGGGAGAGGAGUAAUGCACAAGAAACUCAGGCCAAUGGGGGAGCAAGAAGAAAACGAAGAAGUGCAGUGCAUGCGUCAUCGGUGUUUAACAGUCAGAAGCGAAACAGUUCAGAACAAGGCCUGCCCUGUCAAAAGAAGAGCUAAAAGACAGUUAUAUAAAAAUUAAGAAUAACUCAAUCUCAGUGUGACUACUGAUCCGCCGCCACGUGGCUUCCCGGACACACUGCUGCAGCGCCAACAGUGAAGAGGAGCUCUCCAUCACAACCAGACAGCAGAAGCACAGCACAGUGAAGCCCACCUGCCCACAUGAUGCACAAUAAAGGUAUUAAUUUACAACAGAUGGAUUUUAUGCCUUGUACAGGUAUGAACACAGUGAAGAUUUGACGAUGGUUCUCUCUUUUAGCUGAACGCUGGAGUUUUAAUUACUGACAUUUUCUUGGAAAAAAUUAUCCUUUGUGGUUUUAAAACGUGGGUUUUUUUUUUUUUUUUUUUUUUUGCUCAAGUCACAUGUUCUAACAAGACAGUUUUAAUAAGCCAGUUUGACUAGAUGUAAAGUACUUGGAUUAAAGUGAUAAUCUUACUUUGUGGCCUAUAAAUUAACACAUCUGAAUUUCUUUUUAAGAAUUCAGAAACCAGUAACUUCCAAACAACUUGAAAUUGAAUAAGUAUUUUCAGCAACCCAGGGGUGAACUAAAUGCAACAGAUUAUUCAACUUUAAAAAGUCUUACUUACUGUACAGAUUUUCCAUAUUAAACCUCUGGUAUGCCUCAAUUUUUUACUUAAAAGUCUCGGACUUUGAGGGCAUACAACAUUUUUUGGACAUAUAUAACCAUGAUGUACUUUAAUACUCCAAUCUUAGGUUGUGAUUUUAGAGGUUGUUUUGGUAUCAUUAAAUACCAAUGGGAACAAACCAGAAAAUUAAAUAAAAAUAUAAUUCACCACUCACACACCCUUAAGGGUCUAGAUUCAAUUUCCAAAAGCAUAAUAUUGGGUAGUUACUUGCAGUUGUGAAAAUAAUUUCAAUCUUGGAAUCUUGGUACACAACCCCAAAAUUAAAAAAAAAGGAAAUCCACGUAAUCCCAGUGUCUUUAAAAUAAUGCUGCCAGCCCGACCCCACCUCACCCCACAGUCAACCAGUUACCAUGGUUCAGGAUAGGGCAAACUUAGGUUUUGGACAGAUGAAGAGUUCAAUGGCUGUUAAUUAGCACAGGCAAGAAAAGAAGGAAAAUGAAAAGUUGAUAAAUGUUAACUCAACAAUUAUACUCUUUACACAGCUUGCCUUAAAACUGCUCCAGUUCAGACUUACUCUGUUCAAAAGUGAAUAUACAGAACGUUAGUGUAUCUCUCUAUUUAAAUCUCAGUCUCAGUACUAAUCUUCUACCUCCAUGAAACAUACACAACAAAACAAAAGGAAGAGCUAGGGAUUUGGGAAGAGGCACUUCCAUAAAAAAAGAAAGAGAAGAUUAUUUCAGAUUUGAAUUUACCAUUUUUACCAUUUUUUCUGUUUCAAAGUCCCAGAUAAUAUACAUUUCUUCGUUCAUUAUUCAUUUUCUAAGUGCCUACUAUGGCUGGAGUACUCUAUUCGAUUUUAAGCUUAGAGAUUGAAACAGAAACAGUCCCUGGCCAUCUCACCCUUCAUUAACUUGCUGUGUGGAAGACAGGCUACAGACUGGACCCUCAUGAGGCAGUGGUAGUAGGGCCCACAGGGAGGUGUGCUACUGAAGCACCCCGAGAGCCCAGAGCCCAACAUGCCCGUGGUGAGAGGUGCUCCUGAGGAGACAGAGUUCAGUGCAUCCUCCCUAUGGAGUCCUGGAUUUACUAGAUUUCAGUCCUCUUCCCCUGACUGAUUUCAAUCCACUCACCCUCCCACUUUUUUUUUUUUAAAUAAUAGGCUUUCUGCCCCACUAAAGGAAUUUUAGGCUUCUGCAACAAGUGGAGGAGGCAUUUUGAAGAUGGGACACAAAGAAGUCUUCUUUCUCCAGAUCCAGAAGUCAGGCCUUAUAAGAAUUCAAGCCAAAAAAAGUUCAUCCAUGGGAAUAACGGUUCUUCUAUCAUCCAGCUCAUAUUUGUGCCAACAGAGCUGAGGGACCUGAGUAAUUCAAGAGGCUAGGGGUUGGGGGGCAGAUGUGUCCAGUGGCUCCCACAGCCCCGCCGUCCUGAAAGUCAUGCCAGUUAAUGUGCCUCGGGGUGCAUCAGCCCUCCCGACAGAUGACUACUAGGAAAUUAAUCCCCAGUUAAUAAUGUGCUUUGGACCAAGUAAGUCAAGAUUAUUUUUCCUACAAUUAUACAAAGAUAUGCUUUUCCAGAAGGGAACUUCUGGAAAAAGAACAAAAUACACUAUGCUUAAAAUAUUAUUCACAUAUUUAGAGAAGAAAGAACCUAAAAUAGCAGAAGACCUGAAUACCAUGAUCCACGGUGCCCACCCCUGGGAGCAUGUCUUUGUGUGGGACAAGACCUAGCACAGCAGGGCUGGUUUCUAAGAGUACGGUGAGGCACCAUUGAACUCAUCAAGGAACUAUGCCUAGUCUUGCCCCUCUGGUUUAUGUCACCAGUAUCAAAGAGAGAGGACCUUUGGAUGCCUGAAUGUUUAUGUCACCAGUAUCAAAGAGAGAGGACCUUUGGAUGCCUGAAUGAGGCAAGAACUAAUGCGAAGGCUAUACUUUGCUUUGUUUUCAUAUCUUGCCCUCAGCUGCCUUAAGAGAAUUAUGCCCUGAUCUGGCACAGCGAUGAAUGUCUACGGUUAUACUGCUGCUGCUGGUGUGCUGCUGGUGAGGUGGUGGGGUGUGGGUGUCUUUUAAGGAAAGCGCUACUAUUUUAGCUCUCUUCCACUCCAGCUCUACAAAUCAGUGCAAGUCUAGUUCAGGCAGGGCCAAACCAUUUUGUUCACCUACUUUCCUGCCAGUGAUUUCAACCUUGACCUUCAAAAAUGCUCUGCAAGAUUAAAAGUGAUUUAAGAUUGUUUUCUUUCAGUGCAAACUGCCAGUUGAUACAACCUCUUCAGUUUCUGCCUGCCAGUAUAAGAUAGGGAAUUGCUGGGACUAUUUAGUGUAAAUAAAAUAAUUUCUUAAACAUUGAAAUACCAGUAACAGCUGGGGGAGGCCUCACCAUUAGUCAAUUACACUUAUGAAACUUUCAGAUAGAAAUUUUAUUUUCAGUGGAUUCUGUUUUUCUUUAUUAACUGCAAAAUCAGCAAGUCAUUGGUUAAAAAGCACACUCUUUCUGCUUGAAGUCAAAUAAGUAUUUACCCUAAGAGGCAAAGUCCAGUAUCUACAGUAAAAACUGACCUGACCUUUGGUAUUCCGCAAGGGCCUGAACUUCCAUUCCAUUCCCAGUGCUGGAUGUGGAGAAUGGGUGGUCCCAAGCAACAAUCAUUUGCCUUUCUGUCAAAAGCUGUCUUGGUUUAAAUGUACUGUAUUUUCUCUGCCUCUUCUUCUUAUUGGAACAUGUUCUAGUCUACUCGCCAGGUGCUACUUCUGGCAGUCAGAAAUAGUGCCACUUUUCAACUUCAAGUUUCUUACCAACCUUUGUGCAUUCAUGCAGCAAGAGUUCAUGAAAUAGCUGCAAAGUGCUGGACACUGUUAGGUUCUGGGGAUUGCAAGAGAAAGAGAGUUUCUGCCUUCUAGAUGCUCAAGUCUGGGGGUGGGGUAGGUACAGCAGGGGUGAUCAAUUCACAAAAAUUUACUUUUAAAAAUGUGUGUUAUGGGCUGACUUGUAUCACCUCAAAAUUCAUAUGGGGAAGUCCUAACCACCAAUACCUCAGAAUGUGAUUGUAUUUGGAAACAGGAUCUUUACAGAGGCAAUUAAGUUAAAAUAAGGACAUCAGGGUGGGCCCUAAUCUGAAGUGACCCAUGUCCUUCUAAGAAGAGAUUAGGACACAGACACACAGAGGAAAGACCAUAUGAAGACACAGGGAGAAGACAGCCAUCUACAAGCCGAGAAGGGAGGCCUCAGAAGAAACCAACCCUGCCAACAUCUUGAUCUCAGACUUCGAGCCUCCAAGAUUGUUAGAAAAUAAAUUUCUGUUGUUUAAGCUGCCCAGCCUGUGGCACUUUGUUAUGGCAGCCCUCGCAAACUAAACACAGUGUGCUUUUUAAGGGCAACAACAAAAAAGAAAUAUAUAGGUUAUGUCAAAUGUAAUAGGUGCUGGAACAUCUAUCAACAGACUAAACAACAAACAAAACCAACAUUUAGCAUAAUAUCCAGUAGUGCUGUCAACAAAGGAAAUGGGGGUGGCAGUGAGCACAUCUGGGAGGGCAUUUGAUGGCUGUCAGAAUCAGCCAAGGAAGACAGAAGGGUGAGGGGUAAGUGCAGAAUGAGCUCCAUGCAGGCAAGUGGCCCUGUGGCCAGGUCUCCCUGCAGCUCCCAGGCCCCACAGCAGUAACAAGACCCACAUGAACCCAUGAGUUUCUGUGCCCUCAGUUUUCUAACUAGUUCAGAAUAUUAGGAACUGACAAUGACCCUAUGACUGAAGCUUUUGAAUGCUGAUAAUAUGAGGAUCAGAAAACUGGUAAGCUGAUCUAUCUAUCUAGAGUCCAUCUGUGCUUGCUGAACUGUAAAGCUGCCCAUUCUUCUUGGUGCUCAUCAACUGACACUCCAAACAUGGACACGUGGCUGAUAGUGCAUUCCAUUCAUUCAUUGUCUGAAUUCAAGUUUGUGUUUUUCAUGAAGGCCAAUUAAAUUAACUUUCUUUUUGACACUUCA
RNAcentral lists this non-coding RNA (5575 nucleotides) under Pongo abelii (Sumatran orangutan). Lineage: Eukaryota; Metazoa; Chordata; Mammalia; Primates; Hominidae. The record is from RNAcentral.